Molecule: long non-coding RNA, 538 nt
Filed under: Nicotiana benthamiana
Lineage: Eukaryota; Viridiplantae; Streptophyta; Magnoliopsida; Solanales; Solanaceae
Description: long non-coding RNA (NBEN_LNC036218)
Source: RNAcentral
UUUAUUUGUCCGCUUUUUAAAAUGUAAAACCGUUUAUGAAAAAUCAUAUAUACGGCACUGUGCAUCUGCUUAGUUAGACAUGCUUCCAGCUCCCCCUACCAAUGUCCUAAAGGUUGAAUCACCAUCUUGAUCAAGAGUUUCCUCUAACCUUUUCUUGUUCUCAAAAUCCUUUGAUUCCUCCCUUGCCACAGGUAAUAUACACAUCCAGCUAGUAUUAUCAUGUAUAUAGCAGCUUGUGCACUUCCAUCAUAGGCUUGAACUUUAGCCCACUCCAACUCCUUUGUCAACCUUUUAAUAAAUUUAUUGUUAACUAAGAAAAUAACAAUUUAACUAAUUUUCCCGUAAUAAUAUAUUUUCUUGUCUAAUUAUAUUUAUAAAUAACUUGUAAUUGUAAGAUAUAUGGAUUUAUAUCUAGAUAUAUGGACUUAUAUCUACAUACAUUUGAACAAUAUAUGGAUAAUUAUAUGUUAUGUGCUAUCUUUUGGUUUGGCCUAAUUAUGUGGUCUUAUGGACAUUAUGUUAAGGGGGCCAAUGUGUU